AUUCACUCAGUGAAUGUACAUAAUCACUCGCUUGCGCGUUGUUGCAAAGAUUUAUCUGAUCUCGCCAGAAUAAUGUGAAACUGCUACGUUUUGUUUGCUAUGAACAAUAUUUUGAGUUAGUUUCUUCAUAAAAAUAAGGUUUGAUUACAUUUUUAGCGAGAAAUAUAUAUUCUAUUUUCAUAAUAUUAGCGUCAAAAACUGACGCGAAUUUUAUUGGUAUGAAAUCACGCUGAAGAAGUCUCCUUCAGAACACAUCGCGAUAUUUGGCAUCAGUUCGCGUGUGCUGGAUGUUGGUAAGUAGUCGUAAAUACGCUGUUCUAAUGUUUGAUAUAAUGUCUUUUCUGUUUGCAGAUAUUAAUCAGAUUAACGUUAGCUCCCUCAUGUUCAGUCACUGCAUUAUAUCUGUCACCUCCGCUGAGGUUUUGCUUUUCAUUGUUUUCUAUAUUAAAUACUAAACUAGGGUGAUUAAACACUGUCACGUGACGUGCAAUAUAUUGCACAAUAUAAUAUAACAUAUUCAUAUCAGGUUCAAAGUAGUACAAGUGUAGUUUCAAAAUGGUAUUUGUUGUAGAAGCACGGUAAAAAAAACAACACUUACCAUGCUUUUUACCACAGUAUUGGUAGUUUUAAUGUGAUUUUUGUUGUAAAUACAGAGUAACCACAACACUUAUCAUGCUUUUAAUGCCUAAUAAUGUUAAAUCCAAAAACUGUAAGGUCAAUAAGAACUUCUUUCCUAUAUAUAUUUAGGCUAUAUAUAAACCUAUAUAUUAUAAAUAAUGAUAUUUUCUUUUCUCUUGUUUUAGCUGAAAAGACAAAAAGGGCCUUUCGGAAAUGGAUGAAGGAGACAGAAAGCUGCAAAGGCAAAUAAUUGCAAUGAAGGAAAUCCUACGGUUAUGUAUGAACUCACAACAUCAUCAUCAAGUGCUGUGCUGGGCACAUUGGGUAACAAGUGUCCUCCAACGUAUCCAAUCUGUGGCCACGUUCUCCACAUCUUCCCAUGGGACACCGACAUUCUUCAGGCCUUCGUUUCCAUGUCUUCCCCUGCAUUCUCCUGGUGGUGUCCACUUCAUAUCUGUCUUUGGGUGUUGUUGUUUGGUCAUGCUUAGGAUGUGUCCAGGGAGGUGCACCCUUCACUCUGUCACAGUUUUUAAAAGUCUUCACGUGGACUCCUCCUUAUGAUCUCCUUGAAACGUGCAGAACCAAUAUUGAAAAUAGUAAUUUAUCUUUUUCCAUAUUCUUGCCUUUAUCAAAGAAGCACCAGUGCUCAUCCGGAGUUUUGGUAAAAGACAUAUUCAUUGCCAUCCACUAGUUCUAGUAAUGCUGCGACUAUAGUCAAAUAUGUAUUUCUGCAUGUGUGUAUAGCAGGUGUUUGUCCGAACAAUUGAAGUUAGUGAGAGUGUUCAGGAAAACCCUCUGAGAACAAUCAAUAUUUAUUUAAUUCUGUUUGGUGCUGAUAUAGAGUAUUACAGAAAUGACACAUUGACAUUCUGGACAUUAUUCUGUGAGUUUGUUACCUCUACAUUUAGAUGGACUUGAAAAUGUCUUGCAUUUUGUUUCAUUAAACCUUUUAUUACAGUGUCACUAUAGUAAAUGUCCACCUUAACUACAUCUAUGGUAUCAUUAUAUCAGUACCUGGAUAAUGUAAAUGUAACAUACCCAUGAAUGUAUUUUAUAGAAGCAUUUUAUUGCUGAAAAUAUUUAACAUUUAUAAAAUGCAUUAACUAUU
Molecule: long non-coding RNA, 1726 nt
Organism: Megalobrama amblycephala (Wuchang bream)
Lineage: Eukaryota; Metazoa; Chordata; Actinopteri; Cypriniformes; Xenocyprididae
Exons: 2
Source: RefSeq, a predicted model, not a curated record